GAUAGGUAGAGGAAGACGAUAUCCGCCAUGUUAGUUCUGCUCGCCUCAGAUGGGGUGUGAGCAGAAAAGUUUGCAGUUUGUAAACAGUUUGGUUGUAUUUCGAAGUAACAUCAGGAGAGAAGAUAUUUUCAUCUUGAAUAUUCGCUGUGGGAUUGUUUGUGAGGAUAUUUGAGGUGAAAGUCGCUGUGACACGCAGCAGUUUUCUGGAUUUAAUCAACGAACUUUCUCCAUUGUGCUAACCUGAGUUUCAGAGCAUUCUGCACAAGCACCCCCGCCUUCACAGCUUGUUCAGGAAGCUGCACACACAGGGAGAGUGUCUGAAGUUCUGGGUUGGCUCUUCAGGAUUCAUGACCUCCAGGAACAAGAUGAUGUCCAUGUCAGACGAGCUGCUGUCCUGUUCUCUCCCUGUCAACCUGCAUGAGGAUGACCGCAGCUCUCUGAAGACCUGGAUCCUCAUGAUCCAGACACUGAUGACACUCAGACCCCACAGUCAGCUCCAGUUCACAUGAUGUCCCUCUGCUGAGACAGGACUGUGCUUCAAGGUAAUGUAGUUAUUAAAGUCACCACAUUGGCUGAUAUAUAUGUAUAUGUAUGUAUGUAUGUAUGUGUGUAUAUAUAUAUAUAUAUAUAUAUAUAUACAUAUACAUAUUUUUUUUUUUUUUUUUGCACUGAUUUAUGGUCUGUAUCUAAGUAACUCUAAAGAUCUGGUUAACACCAGAGUUUACUGUAGACUUAUUGUUCAGUAAAUGUAUUUAAUUAAAGUAGUCAGCAUGACUGAAAUUCUUGAGCGAUGUUUGAUGUGCAGGAGUUGUGCUAAAUGCUAAUAUGCUAAGUUGAGCACAGUCACGGCCAAACACUCAGUGACUCUAUUGACAAAAUGUUGGAGGCAAAAUCAAACACUUACAUUAUAUAAGUUUGUAUUGAAGGAGGUUAACUCAGGUAUUUUUAAAAUCCUCGUCUUUAUUGUCCCAUGUGUUUGUGUGUAAAUGACAGGACAAAAGUCAACUGUAAACAGCUGCUAAUGUCAUCAAAGUACGUCCACUAAAGUUCUUGUUGCCACUGACGGGUUCAGAUUGUUAUUCUAAGUGUCUGACAGCAUUAUAGACAGAUCCUUUUUCUUUAACCAGAAACAUUUUUACUAGACAGGACACAGGAGCUGCUGGAAUAUCACAGACUCCAGUGUCUCUUUUGUACAUAUAAACCUAACAUGAUGCAGCGUUUGGUUUUGCCUCUGCUGUUUCAACAGUGAGAGACUCACUGAGUGUGCAGUCAUGUGCGUUUGUCAUUCUGUGUGUGCUGACGUAGAUUCUUUAAUGUCUUUUCACGUAUUAGACCACAGAUGUUAAGUCAAUGAGCAAAACAUUUCAUGGUAAUACUGGAUUUGUUUGUUUUGUGGUCUCUGUGUUAUGGUGACUUAAUAAAGAAACGUUGCAUAUGG
Molecule: long non-coding RNA, 1438 nt
Organism: Lates calcarifer (barramundi perch)
Lineage: Eukaryota; Metazoa; Chordata; Actinopteri; Centropomidae
Exons: 4
Source: RefSeq, a predicted model, not a curated record